GGGACCAUCCUCCAAGGCUAAAUACUCCUGACUGACCGAUAGUGAACCAGUACCGUGAGGGAAAGGCGAAAAGAACCCCUGUGAGGGGAGUGAAAUAGAACCUGAAACCGUGUACGUACAAGCAGUGGGAGCCCUUCGGGGUGACUGCGUACCUUUUGUAUAAUGGGUCAGCGACUUACAUUUUGUAGCGAGGUUAACCGUAUAGGGGAGCCGUAGGGAAACCGAGUCUUAACUGGGCGUCUAGUUGCAAGGUGUAGACCCGAAACCGGGUGAUCUAGCCAUGGGCAGGUUGAAGGUUGAGUAACAUCAACUGGAGGACCGAACCCACUAACGUUGCAAAGUUAGGGGAUGACCUGUGGCUGGGGGUGAAAGGCCAAUCAAACUCGGAGAUAGCUGGUUCUCCCCGAAAGCUAUUUAGGUAGCGCCUCGGACGAAUACUACUGGGGGUAGAGCACUGUUUGGGCUAGGGGGUCAUCCCGACUUACCAACCCCAUGCAAACUCCGAAUACCAGUAAGUAAUAUCCGGGAGACACACGGCGGGUGCUAACGUCCGUCGUGAAGAGGGAAACAACCCAGACCGCCGGCUAAGGUCCCAAAGUUCUGGUUAAGUGGGAAACGAUGUGGGAAGGCUCAGACAGCUAGGAUGUUGGCUUAGAAGCAGCCAUCAUUUAAAGAAAGCGUAAUAGCUCACUAGUCGAGUCGGCCUGCGCGGAAGAUGUAACGGGGCUCAAACCAGGCACCGAAGCCGCGGAUUCACGCUAAGCGUGAGUGGUAGGGGAGCGUUCUGUAAGUCUGCGAAGGUGUAUCGAGAGGUAUGCUGGAGAUAUCAGAAGUGCGAAUGCUGACGUAAGUAACGAUAAAGGGGGUGAAAAGCCUCCUCGCCGGAAGACCAAGGGUUCCUGUCCAACGUUAAUCGGGGCAGGGUGAGUCGACCCCUAAGGCGAGGCCGAAAGGCGUAGUCGAUGGGAAGCAGGUUAAUAUUCCUGCACGACUUGUAAUUGCGAUGGGGGGACGGAGAAGGCUAGGUGGGCCAGGCGACGGUUGUCCUGGUGAAAGUGCGUAGGUGGUGUUUCUAGGCAAAUCCGGAGACACAACACUGAGACACGAGACGAACGCACCACGGUGCGGAAGCCAUUGAUGCCCUGCUUCCAGGAAAAGCCUCUAAGCUUCAGAUUACAAGUCAUCGUACCCCAAACCGACACAGGUGGUCGGGUAGAGAAUACCAAGGCGCUUGAGAGAACUCGGGUGAAGGAACUAGGCAAAAUAGAACCGUAACUUCGGGAGAAGGUUCGCUCUUGAUGGUGAAGUCCCUUGCGGAUGGAGCUGUCGGGAGUCGCAGUGACCAGAUGGCUGGGACUGUUUAUCAAAAACACAGCACUCUGCAAACACGAAAGUGGACGUAUAGGGUGUGACACCUGCCCGGUGCCGGAAGGUUAAUUGAUGGGGUUAGCGCAAGCGAAGCUCUUGAUCGAAGCCCCGGUAAACGGCGGCCGUAACUAUAACGGUCCUAAGGUAGCGAAAUUCCUUGUCGGGUAAGUUCCGACCUGCACGAAU
RNAcentral lists this ribosomal RNA (1554 nucleotides) under Acinetobacter sp. PT1. RNAcentral's name for it is "bacterial LSU rRNA". It matches the Rfam family "Bacterial large subunit ribosomal RNA", at positions 449 to 1997 of the family's 2925-position model. The record is from RNAcentral. Lineage: Bacteria; Pseudomonadati; Pseudomonadota; Gammaproteobacteria; Moraxellales; Moraxellaceae.